UUCAAGUUAUUCGAUUUCACCUAUGACGUUUUGCUGGAGUGGUUAUGUUCCAUGUUUUGUUGGUACCGGUCCGGGUUCGACCCCCAGCUUCAAGACAAUUCACGCGUGUAUUUCGAAGAAAGAUCAUAUCAAGAUCCAAUGUUUUUAAAAAUAAAGUGGUUUGAUUUUAUGAUUUGGUUUGUUUUUUGCCUAUUGAUACUUUUCUGUGAUGGAUGUUAUGUGUAAAUAGACCAUGUUCAUCGCAUUGGUAGGUCAUAAUAAAAGGCUUUACUGUA
Molecule: long non-coding RNA, 275 nt
Organism: Helianthus annuus (common sunflower)
Lineage: Eukaryota; Viridiplantae; Streptophyta; Magnoliopsida; Asterales; Asteraceae
Exons: 2
Source: RefSeq, a predicted model, not a curated record